Molecule: ribosomal RNA, 1361 nt
Filed under: uncultured bacterium
Lineage: Bacteria
Description: bacterial SSU rRNA
Rfam family: Bacterial small subunit ribosomal RNA
Source: RNAcentral
AUCGAACGCUGGCGGCAGGCCUAACACAUGCAAGUCGAACGGUAGCACAGAGAGCUUGCUCUCGGGUGACGAGUGGCGGACGGGUGAGUAAUGUCUGGGAAACUGCCCGAUGGAGGGGGAUAACUACUGGAAACGGUAGCUAAUACCGCAUAACGUCGCAAGACCAAAGAGGGGGACCUUAGGGCCUCUUGCCAUCGGAUGUGCCCAGAUGGGAUUAGCUUGUAGGUGAGGUAACGGCUCACCUAGGCGACGAUCCCUAGCUGGUCUGAGAGGAUGACCAGCCACACUGGAACUGAGACACGGUCCAGACUCCUACGGGAGGCAGCAGUGGGGAAUAUUGCACAAUGGGCGCAAGCCUGAUGCAGCCAUGCCGCGUGUAUGAAGAAGGCCUUCGGGUUGUAAAGUACUUUCAGCGGGGAGGAAGGGAGUGAGGUUAAUAACCUUAUUCAUUGACGUUACCCGCAGAAGAAGCACCGGCUAACUCCGUGCCAGCAGCCGCGGUAAUACCGGAUGGUGCAAGCGUUUAUCGUAAUUACUGGGCGUAAGCGCACGCAGGCGGUCUGCUCAGUCGGAUGUGAAAUCCCCGGGCUCAACCUGGGAACUGCAUUCGAAACUGGCAGGCUGGAGUCUUGUAGAGGGGGGUAGAAUUCCAGGUGUAGCGGUGAAAUGCGUAGAGAUCUGGAGGAAUACCGGUGGCGAAGGCGGCCCCCUGGACAAAGACUGACGCUCAGGUGCGAAAGCGUGGGGAGCAAACAGGAUUAGAUACCCUGGUAGUCCACGCUGUAAACGACGUCGACUUGGAGGUUGUUCCCUUGAGGAGUGGCUUCCGGAGCUAACGCGUUAAGUCGACCGCCUGGGGAGUACGGCCGCAAGGUUAAAACUCAAAUGAAUUGACGGGGGCCCGCACAAGCGGUGGAGCAUGUGGUUUAAUUCGAUGCAACGCGAAGAACCUUACCUACUCUUGACAUCCAGAGAACUUAGCAGAGAUGCUUUGGUGCCUUCGGGAACUCUGAGACAGGUGCUGCAUGGCUGUCGUCAGCUCGUGUUGUGAAAUGUUGGGUUAAGUCCCGCAACGAGCGCAACCCUUAUCCUUUGUUGCCAGCGAUUCGGUCGGGAACUCAAAGGAGACUGCCAGUGAUAAACUGGAGGAAGGUGGGGAUGACGUCAAGUCAUCAUGGCCCUUACGAGUAGGGCUACACACGUGCUACAAUGGCAUAUACAAAGAGAAGCGACCUCGCGAGAGCAAGCGGACCUCAUAAAGUAUGUCGUAGUCCGGAUUGGAGUCUGCAACUCGACUCCAUGAAGUCGGAAUCGCUAGUAAUCGUGGAUCAGAAUGCCACGGUGAAUACGUUCCCGGGCCU